UGGCCCAGCUGGGGUCCCUGCUGGCCCGGCUGGACUCCCUGCGGGCGGCUCAGGAGCCCCUGGAUCGGGCCCGCGGCCACCACCUGGAGGCCAAGGGCCACCUGCUGCUGCUGCGGGCCCGGCUGGAGGAGCUGCAGGUUCUAUUGGACACUUACCCCGCCCCCACCCUGGAGGCCCAUCGGCGAAUCAGGGCGUGUCUCUCCGAGUCCCGGAAGAGGGCGGAGUCGGAGGCGGCGGCGCUGGGGGCGGAGCUUACGGCCCGCCGGGCCCUGGGCCCCGAGCUGCUGCGAUUGGCCGAGGAGCUGGGGCGUGUCCGCGAGGGGGCGGAGCUCGCCCGGGAGGCCCUGGGGAAGCUCCGCCCACCCGACCACGCCCAGUAAAAGCGGGUUUUUUCGCCCCGAAAAGGCGGUU
Molecule: long non-coding RNA, 411 nt
Organism: Chiroxiphia lanceolata (lance-tailed manakin)
Lineage: Eukaryota; Metazoa; Chordata; Aves; Passeriformes; Pipridae
Exons: 3
Source: RefSeq, a predicted model, not a curated record